This 497-nucleotide ribosomal RNA is filed under the name uncultured bacterium. RNAcentral's name for it is "partial 16S ribosomal RNA". It matches the Rfam family "Bacterial small subunit ribosomal RNA", at positions 28 to 507 of the family's 1533-position model. The record is from RNAcentral.
GAUGAACGCUGGCGGCGUGCCUAAUACAUGCAAGUCGAGCGAACGGACGAGAAGCUUGCUUCUCUGAUGUUAGCGGCGGACGGGUGAGUAACACGUGGAUAACCUACCUAUAAGACUGGGAUAACUUCGGGAAACCGGAGCUAAUACCGGAUAAUAUUUUGAACCGCAUGGUUCAAAAGUGAAAGACGGUCUUGCUGUCACUUAUAGAUGGAUCCGCGCUGCAUUAGCUAGUUGGUAAGGUAACGGCUUACCAAGGCAACGAUGCAUAGCCGACCUGAGAGGGUGAUCGGCCCCACUGGAACUGAGCCACGGUCCCGACUCCUACGGGAGGCAGCAGUAGGGAAUCUUCCGCAAUGGGCGAAAGCCUGACGGAGCAACGCCGCGUGAGUGAUGAAGGUCUUCGGAUCGUAAAACUCUGUUAUUAGGGAAGAACAUAUGUGUAAGUAACUGUGCACAUCUUGACGGUACCUAAUCAGAAAGCCACGGCUAACUACGUG